This 216-nucleotide unclassified non-coding RNA is filed under the name plant metagenome. Its description in RNAcentral is "partial contains small subunit ribosomal RNA, internal transcribed spacer 1, and 5.8S ribosomal RNA". The record is from RNAcentral.
UCUCCGUUGGUGAACCAGCGGAGGGAUCAUUACCGAGUUUACAACUCCCAAACCCCUGUGAACAUACCUGUUUUGUUGCUUCGGCGGUGCCCUCGCUCUCGCGGCGAGGCCCGCCAGAGGACCCAAACAAACUCUUUGACUUUGAUCUAGGAUUAUACUUCUGAGUGAUACAAAAAAAUAAAAUCAAAACUUUCAACAACGGAUCUCUUGGUUCUG